UACGUAGGGUGCUAGCGUUAAUCGGAAUUACUGGGCGUAAAGCGUGCGCAGGCGGUUUCACAAGCUCGAUUUGAAAGCCCCGGGCUUAACCUGGGAAUGGCAUUGAGGACUGUGGAGCUUGAGUGCGGCAGAGGGAGGUGGAAUUCCACGUGUAGCAGUGAAAUGCGUAGAGAUGUGGAGGAACACCGAUGGCGAAGGCAGCCUCCUGGGCCGACACUGACGCUCAUGCACGAAAGCGUGGGGAGCAAACAGG
RNAcentral lists this ribosomal RNA (253 nucleotides) under uncultured bacterium. RNAcentral describes it as "partial 16S ribosomal RNA". It matches the Rfam family "Bacterial small subunit ribosomal RNA", at positions 524 to 776 of the family's 1533-position model. The record is from RNAcentral.